Molecule: long non-coding RNA, 2217 nt
Organism: Pseudophryne corroboree (corroboree frog)
Lineage: Eukaryota; Metazoa; Chordata; Amphibia; Anura; Myobatrachidae
Exons: 5
Source: RefSeq, a predicted model, not a curated record
UUAUAAAGGGUGGUUAUCAGGUCCAAUGCCUCAUUAUACAGAGACUUGGCUGUCAGCACUGCACCACUGGAGGGUCUACCACGUGUUCUAAAUUGGUUAGACAUUAUUCCCAUUUGAAUUGCCUUCACUCCUGAGUCUCUGAGUGUCAGGUUCAAGCUGCUGACCGACGAGGUUCCUUAUGCUUGCGAACCAGUUAGAUUCUAUACACAUAUGAAUCUUCCCCAUAUUCGAAUAUCUGAAUGUCAGACUCAAGCUGAUGAUAUAUGAGGUAUGGUCCCCGCUGUAUCAAUCAAGUCCCAUUGAAAUAUUAAAACGUUGUUCAUACAUCUUUGAAUGACCUUUUAUGUGCUGACAAUAUGUUCUGAAAUGAAGAGAUUUUACCCCUGAUGAAGUCUUGGAACAAGACGAAACGCGUUGGGUUAUUUAUCUAUCUAUUAUCUGAUGUUACCUCCGAAUCUACAAUAAGGAGAAGGAGGAAAUCGUAGUGAUAUAUCUACGCUUUUUCCUCAUCACUACAAACUGAUUGUUCAAAUUGUGCGACAAAUGUAAAUGUAUCAACUCUGUAUACUUAUGAACAUUUGUGUCGGGUUUAUAUGUUGUUUUAAUCAAUUUUUAUGUUAGUAUUUGUUAUCUGAUGUAAUUUAUCCGGAGAGUACUGUAAGGGUCCGUUUUUAGGUAGGGCGUUGAUAUAACUCCCUUGGCGCCAUCUCCUCUAUUUCGUUUCAUAUUUCCACAUUUAGUUCCUCCUAACAGGGAACUUAGAGGAUACAGGCAGCCAUAUAAUUAAUUAAUUUUAGUGUUUUAUUUGAAAUAGCGCAGUGGGAGAGUAAUUCUUGUCAUAUAUAUAUAUAUACACACACACACCUUGUAUGGACACAUACAUUGUAACAUAGACUUAAGAGCCUGAUAGUGUCCAGCAGACAUUAAAAUAACUUAUACCCCCUUACACAGACUUAAUAGCCUGAACUGCUUGUUGCAUUAAAAUGCAGCUUAGUUUUGGGGCCUCCCGCUAUCUUCUAUAGGGCAUUCCUCUCCCCGCGAUCUCCCCCUGCAGUGUCGGUCUGCAGCAGCAGUGAGAGCUGUCCGUGGUCAGCUUGCCCCCUCUCCCCCUUAAAUUAUACAGAUGAUUAGCGUUAGCAGAAGCUAACCGCGGGAAGGAGAAGGGAUGUGGAGCCGGAGACUGAGGAGCGGAUCAAUGAUCGUGUGCAGGCCGCGGCAGCAGGGCUGUCCGCGGUCAGCUUGCCCGCUCUCCCUCUUCAGAGCCGCUGGAGCGUUAUCAGAAGCUAACCGCGGGAGGGAGGAGGGAUGUGGAGCCGGAGUGUGCGGGCCGCGGCAGCAGGGAGAGCUGUCCGCGGCGGAGUAGGGGAUCUGAGAGCCGGAGAGCGGCGAGCGUCUCUGCGGCAGUGCUAGGAGACUGAUCGCUGGCUCCGUGCGGCAAGCGCCCAGCGGCGGCACGGCUGGGCCGGGAGGCACAUCACAUGUUUAAACACCUCCCUGCCCACAGUGGCCGGCGGGUAUGCGGGGCGGCUGGGGAGUGGCGGCGGCUGCUGUGCAAUCCGCAGCUGGCAGCAGGGGAACUCAGUUAAAUAAAUAUACAGUCCCCACAUAGCCAUCACCCCCAGCAAUACAAAGCAAGUGAGCGGCGGCAGUGUGAGCUGCCUAACCGCACAUUACCUGACCAUUAGUGGAGGCUAUGACGGGACUUCUGUUCUAAGCUCUGUCCAGCUCCUUUAUGCAUUUUCAGGCUGCAAUCAGCUCUGCUGCUUGUGGUCUAUGGCGGGGCCCCUCUCAUGAGUACCGACAAGCCAUCUGCUGCACUUCUGCAGCACCAACAAUCCCGGACCCAAGCUUCUUUAUAAGAUGGGAAGGGAUUGAGGAGAAAAAAUUAAAAAUAAAAUCUUGAAAUUGAAGAAUCUGUGGAAUUUCGUCCACUUGUACCUUCCCGACUGAGGCACAGAAAAAUACUGAAGUCUCUAUGGGAGUAUGGAGGGGGUGGAGAGUUACUAAUUUAAAUAUUUUAAUGUGCCUAUCCCGGCUACGCCCCAUCCAUAUCCCAAGAGUACUCCAGUGACCCCCAGUGGAUGAAAAAGAAAUAUAAACUCAUGACGACCUUUUUCCAUGUCGACCUUAUGAUCCACACCCAAAUAAUUGUUAGAAUUAACCUUAAAUUACAUCAGAUUUUUUAUCUCAUUAAUAAAGUUAAUUUUUGUUGCCUAA